Molecule: long non-coding RNA, 768 nt
Organism: Lytechinus variegatus (green sea urchin)
Lineage: Eukaryota; Metazoa; Echinodermata; Echinoidea; Temnopleuroida; Toxopneustidae
Exons: 3
Source: RefSeq, a predicted model, not a curated record
GAAUGGAUUUCACCAACAGGAAUGCAAGUAAUGUUUUUGGCACGUAAUGUCCAACCUUGGCGCCACACAGCAGAAUCUAUACGGCGAGGUGCUCUCAAAUAAAACAAGACAUCAGACAGAGAUUCUUUUCCUAAACUGCGUAUAUGGUAGGAAUGGUUUGACACUUCAGGAGGUGAUUUCAAAUAUUAGCAGUUUGCUGAUAACCAGAUCAGCUUUUUGUUGGGGAGGACUUUUCCUUCGACAAAAGCUCCAGGAGCCCGUAACACAAAGCUUAAUCAGCAAUCAUCAUAGAAUUUUUUUUAACGAUUAAUUCCAUUGACUACAGCUGUGCUGCCAUUGUCCAUUGUAUUAUCGCAAGAUGUAGCCUGGUCAGAGAGGAAUGGAGCAGGUUUUCAUCAGGGGUUAAGAUAACGGCGGGUACAAGUGCAGAAUACAAAAUAUUCUUUGGAAGGCAUCUGUAUGAUUACCUUACGGUGAGAUGAGGUACGGCGACGUCAUUUUUGACCAGGUAAUCCAAGGGGACCCAUCGGUUUUACCAGGAGGAGUUGGACAGUGUAUUCGAACGACGAAUCUACCGUGUUGAUACCAUGGUCUUAGAGUUCACCCGAUGCAGUCUCAUCAUGGUGAGGGGUGAUCAAGGAUCCAGUUGGUCUUCCGCCGGCCCAAGACCCAAGACCUUUGUUACAUGCCGGAAACCCCAACAAAAAAUAAUUGAAAGAAAAAAAAAUAAAACGAGCAUAUCUCUGAAAAUUUCAUCAACAUCGGAUG